This 750-nucleotide ribosomal RNA is filed under the name Lactiplantibacillus pentosus. Its description in RNAcentral is "bacterial SSU rRNA". It matches the Rfam family "Bacterial small subunit ribosomal RNA", at positions 52 to 763 of the family's 1533-position model. Lineage: Bacteria; Bacillati; Bacillota; Bacilli; Lactobacillales; Lactobacillaceae. The record is from RNAcentral.
UACAUGCAAGUCGUACGAAGCGCUAGCCUGAUUGAUUGGUGCUUGCAUCAUGAUUUACAUUUGAGUGAGUGGCGAACUGGUGAGUAACACGUGGGAAACCUGCCCAGAAGCGGGGGAUAACACCUGGAAACAGAUGCUAAUACCGCAUAACAACUUGGACCGCAUGGUCCGAGUUUGAAAGAUGGCUUCGGCUAUCACUUUUGGAUGGUCCCGCGGCGUAUUAGCUAGAUGGUGAGGUAACGGCUCACCAUGGCAAUGAUACGUAGCCGACCUGAGAGGGUAAUCGGCCACAUUGGGACUGAGACACGGCCCAAACUCCUACGGGAGGCAGCAGUAGGGAAUCUUCCACAAUGGACGAAAGUCUGAUGGAGCAACGCCGCGUGAGUGAAGAAGGGUUUCGGCUCGUAAAACUCUGUUGUUAAAGAAGAACAUAUCUGAGAGUAACUGUUCAGGUAUUGACGGUAUUUAACCAGAAAGCCACGGCUAACUACGUGCCAGCAGCCGCGGUAAUACGUAGGUGGCAAGCGUUGUCCGGAUUUAUUGGGCGUAAAGCGAGCGCAGGCGGUUUUUUAAGUCUGAUGUGAAAGCCUUCGGCUCAACCGAAGAAGUGCAUCGGAAACUGGGAAACUUGAGUGCAGAAGAGGACAGUGGAACUCCAUGUGUAGCGGUGAAAUGCGUAGAUAUAUGGAAGAACACCAGUGGCGAAGGCGGCUGUCUGGUCUGUAACUGACGCUGAGGCUCGAAAGUAUG